RNAcentral lists this transfer RNA (85 nucleotides) under Felis catus (domestic cat). It matches the Rfam family "tRNA". Rfam says of the family: Transfer RNA (tRNA) molecules are approximately 80 nucleotides in length. Their secondary structure includes four short double-helical elements and three loops (D, anti-codon, and T loops). The record is from Rfam by way of RNAcentral. Lineage: Eukaryota; Metazoa; Chordata; Mammalia; Carnivora; Felidae.
GCCUGGGUGGCUCAGUUGGUUGAGUGUCUGACUUCGGCUCAGGUUAUGAUCUUGAGGUUUGUGGGUUUGAGCCCCACAUCAGGCU